AUUGAACGCUGGCGGAAUGCUUUACACAUGCAAGUCGAACGGUAGAGGGGGGCAACCCCUUGAGAGUGGCGAACGGGUGAGUAAUAAUAAUCGGGAAACGUGCCCCAGUCGUGGGGGAUAACGUAGCGAAAGUUACGCUAAUACCGCAUACGAUCUAAGGACGAAAGCGGGGGAUCGCAAGACCUCGCGCGAUUGGAGCGGCCGAUAUCAGAUUAGGUAGUUGGUGGGGUAAAGGCUCACCAAGCCAACGAUCUGUAGCUGGUCUGAGAGGACGACCAGCCACACUGGAACUGAGACACGGUCCAGACUCCUACGGGAGGCAGCAGUGGGGAAUUUUGGACAAUGGGCGCAAGCCUGAUCCAGCAAUGCCGCGUGCAGGAUGAAGGCCUUC
RNAcentral lists this ribosomal RNA (391 nucleotides) under uncultured bacterium. RNAcentral describes it as "bacterial SSU rRNA". It matches the Rfam family "Bacterial small subunit ribosomal RNA", at positions 30 to 419 of the family's 1533-position model. The record is from RNAcentral.